This is a long non-coding RNA of Strigops habroptila (Kakapo), 2279 nucleotides long. The record is from Ensembl. Lineage: Eukaryota; Metazoa; Chordata; Aves; Psittaciformes; Psittacidae.
AAGAGAUGUACAAAUGUUUAUUGAAUGCUUAAUAUAUUGUCGUGGUUUGAGCCCAGCCGGUAACUCAGAACCACACAGCCGCUCGCUCACUCCCCCCGCUUCUUCCUCCCCCCGCUCCCGGAGGGAUGGGGAGGAGAAUGGGACGAAUGUAACUCCCACGGGUUGAGAUAAGAGCAGUCCCGCAACUAAGGUAUAACACAAAACCACUACUGCUACCACCAAUGAUAAUAACGAUUAGUGAAAUAACAAGGGGAGAGGAUACAAUUGCUCACCACCCGCCGACCGAUACCCAGCCCGACCCGAGCAGUGAUCCGGGCCUUCCGGGUAACUCCCCCCGGUUUAUAUACUGGGCAUGACGUGCUGUGGUAUGGAAUACCCCUUUGGCCAGUUUGGGUCAGGUGUCCUGUCUCUGCUUCCGCCCGGCUUCCCCUCCUCCCUGGCAAAGCAUGAGACUGAGAAAGUCCUUGGUUGGAAUAAACAUUACUUAGCAACAACUAAAAACAUCGGUGUUAUCAGCGUUGUUCCCAGGCUGAAAGUUAAAAAACACAGCACUGCACCAGCUACUAAGCAGGAGAAAAAUGACUGCUAUAGCUGAACCCAGGACAGUAUCCACCCCUUAUUCCAUACCAUUCACGUCAUGCUCAGAUCCCACAUCUCUCAGCACACCAUCACCCCUGUCCCAUAUAUACACAUAUAUAUACACCCACACCCACACACAGAGAAAGAUAUCGUUCCCUAGUCCAUGGACCAAUCCCUGUAAAAUUGCUGAACUCAUCCAGUCCAUGAUGUCAGGCUCCAUCUCUUGUAAUAGUCUUUCAGGGCAGGAGGGACGGUACAUAGUGUUGGGUUGUUGCCUGCUGAUGAUACCGCCAAACUCAUCUGGUCACUGCUGAGCUCGUCUGGUUUCCUCAAAAUUCAUUCUUUGUUGAGGUGAUGAUCGGAGGGAAGUCAGGGUCAAUGGCUGGCGACCUGAAGAUAUCUAGCUGGUGGGCUAUAAAAGUGUUAUAGAGCAGGCAACAGCAUACAAUUGAGUUCAUUGGCUGUUUUCCCCCAAAAUCAAAUCCCCUUGAGGUACACAUCGGACUUCCCCAUCUUCCCGCAUUACCCACCAAGUAUAUCCAGGUCCCUGAGCAAAAGCAACCCCACGAGUGGGUUUGCCUUUACCUGAAGCAGGAAUAACCCAGACUGUCUUCCCCAACAAAUUCUUUAUGUGCACCACAGGAACUUUAUCCCCCUCUACAGUACGUAAAAGUUCUGAUUGGGCUGGGCCAGCCCUGUUGGCAGAUCCCCUACUGUUGACCAACCAGGUGGCUUUUGGUAAAUGUGUAUCCCAGUGUUUGAAAGUCCCACCACCCAUUGCUCUCAGUGUAGUUUUUAACAGCCCAUUGUACUGUUCGAUUUUCCCAGAGGCUGGUGCAUGGUAGGGGAUGUGGUAUACCCACUCAAUGCCAUGCUCUUUGGCCCAAGUGUCUAUGAGGUUGUUCCGGAAAUGAGUCCCAUUGUCUGCCUCAAUUCUCUCUGGGGUGCCGUGUCGCCACAAGACUUGUUUCUCAAGGCCCAGGAUAGUGUUCCGGGCAGUGGCAUGAGACACAGCGUAUGUUUCCAGCCAGCCGGUGGUUGCUUCCACCAUGGUAAGCACAUAGCGCUUGCCCUGGCGGGUUGGUGGGAGUGUGAUAUAGUAAAUCUGCCAGGCCUCCCCAUACUUGUACUUCAGCCAUCGUCCUCCAUACCAGAGAGGCUUUAACCGCUUGGCUUGCUUAAUUGCAGCUCAUGUUUCACAUUCGUGAAUAACCUGGGCAAUAGUGUCCAUCGUUAAGUCCACCCCUCGAUCACGAGCCCAUCUAUAUGUUGCAUCUCUGCCUUGAUGGCCUGAGGUGUCAUGGGCCCACUGGGCUAAAAAUAAUUCACCCUUAUGUUGCCAAUCCAAGUCCAUCUGAGCCACUUUAAUCUUAGCAGCUUUAUCCACUUGCUGGUUAUUCUGGUGUUCCUCAGUGGCCCGACUCUUGGGUACAUGAGCAUCUACGUGGCGUACCUUCACCACCAGGUUCUGCACCCAAGCAGCGAUAUCUUGCCACAAUGCAGCAGCCCAGAUGGGUUUACUUCUGCGUUGCCAGUUGCUCUGCUUCCAUUGCUGCAACCACCCCCACAGGGCAUUUGCCACCAUCCAUGAGUCAGUGUAGAGAUAAAGCACUGGCCAUUUUUCUCGUUCAGCAAUGUCCAAGGCCAGCUGGAUGGCUUUCACCUCUGCAAACUGACUCGAUUCACCCUCUCCCUCAGCA